CCCUCACCCAUAUUAGUGGCUUCCUUUAACUCAAUAAACACAUCACACAACGUGUCAUAUGCUCUACGCUAUACAUUUCCACCCACGCAUUUAGAACAUUAUAAAUAACCAAACAGUUUAUAACCGUCCCACGUGAGCGUCGUGCACGAUCCAGUCAAUCAGAAUUCUGAUUGACAAAAACGAUUAAUAACCCCAGUUUAAAGAGAAGGGAAAAGCGUGGGGAAGCGGAAAAGGGUGUGACGCAGACGAGGCUACAAGAAAGCCAAGCCAACGGUUUGCGGAAGUAAGAAAGGAUGAGAAAAAUGAAAAGGACGAUGAUCAAAUCUCAGCAUCGCCAUUAUAAUCUAAGAGAGACCUGCCAGUGGAUUUCGAGAGAAGACAGGCUCUACUGCAGACGUUGUUCCGCAGGGUGGUUGCCCUCGUCUGCGCUUUGUGGGAAAUGCCCGCUCAAUAACGCCUCCCUUCUCGCUCUCUUUCUCUCCCUCCC
Molecule: long non-coding RNA, 487 nt
Organism: Cephus cinctus (wheat stem sawfly)
Lineage: Eukaryota; Metazoa; Arthropoda; Insecta; Hymenoptera; Cephidae
Exons: 3
Source: RefSeq, a predicted model, not a curated record